This 465-nucleotide ribosomal RNA is filed under the name uncultured bacterium. Its description in RNAcentral is "partial 16S ribosomal RNA". It matches the Rfam family "Bacterial small subunit ribosomal RNA", at positions 28 to 507 of the family's 1533-position model. The record is from RNAcentral.
GACGAACGCUGGCGGCGUGCUUAACACAUGCAAGUCGAACGGAAAGGCCCCUUCGGGGGUACUCGAGUGGCGAACAGGUGAGUAACACGUUAGUAACCUGCCCUUGACUUCGGGAUAACUUCAGGAAACUGGGGCUAAUACCGGAUAGGAAUCCUUGCUGCAUGGUGGGGGUUGGAAAGCUUCGGCGGUUUUGGAUGGACUCGCGGCUUAUCAGCUUGUUGGUGGGGUAGUGGCUUACCAAGGCUUUGACGGGUAGCCGGCCUGAGAGGGCGACCGGCCACAUUGGGACUGAGAUACGGCCCAGACUCCUACGGGAGGCAGCAGUGGGGAAUAUUGCACAAUGGGCGGAAGCCUGAUGCAGCAACGCCGCGGGCGGGAUGACGGCCUUCGGGUUGUAAACCGAUUUCAGCAGGGGCGAAGCUUGUGGUGACGGUACCUGCAGAAGAAGCACCGGCUAACUACGUG